ACGGGAGGCAGCAGUGAGGAAUAUUGGUCAAUGGACGAGAGUCUGAACCAGCCAAGUAGCGUGCAGGAUGACGGCCCUAUGGGUUGUAAACUGCUUUUGUACGGGGAUAAAGUGACCUACGUGUAGGUUUUUGUAUGUACCGUAAGAAUAAGGACCGGCUAACUCCGUGCCAGCAGCCGCGGUAAUACGGAAGGUCCGGGCGUAUCCGGAUUUAUUGGGUUUAAAGGGAGCGUAGGCCGUGCUUUAAGCGUGUUGUGAAAUGUAGGGGCCCAACGUCUGCACUGCAGCGCGAACUGGAGCACUUGAGUACGCAGGAAGUAGGCGGAAUUCGUCGUGUAGCGGUGAAAUGCUUAGAUAUGACGAAGAACUCCGAUUGGGAAGCCAGCUUACUGUAGCGCCACUGACGCUGAGGCUCGAAAGCGUGGGUAUCGAACAGGAUUAGAUACCCUGGUA
RNAcentral lists this ribosomal RNA (453 nucleotides) under uncultured Prevotella sp. RNAcentral describes it as "partial 16S ribosomal RNA". It matches the Rfam family "Bacterial small subunit ribosomal RNA", at positions 341 to 792 of the family's 1533-position model. The record is from RNAcentral. Lineage: Bacteria; Pseudomonadati; Bacteroidota; Bacteroidia; Bacteroidales; Prevotellaceae.